Molecule: ribosomal RNA, 543 nt
Filed under: uncultured Glomus
Lineage: Eukaryota; Fungi; Glomeromycota; Glomeromycetes; Glomerales; Glomeraceae
Description: SSU rRNA
Rfam family: Eukaryotic small subunit ribosomal RNA
Source: RNAcentral
UUGGAGGGCAAGUCUGGUGCCAGCAGCCGCGGUAAUUCCAGCUCCAAUAGCGUAUAUUAAAGUUGUUGCAGUUAAAAAGCUCGUAGUUGAAUUUCGGGAUCAGUACGCUGGUCGUGCCUUCGGUAUGCACUGGUGUCACUGGUUCCUCCCUUCUGACGAACCGUCAUGCCAUUCACUUGGUGUGGCGGGAAAUCAGGACUGUUACUUUGAAAAAAUUAGAGUGUUUAAAGCAGGCUCACGCUUGAAUACAUUAGCAUGGAAUAAUGAAAUAGGACGUUGAUCUUAUUUUGUUGGUUUCUAGGAUUGACGUAAUGAUUAAUAGGGAUAGUUGGGGGCAUUAGUAUUCAAUUGUCAGAGGUGAAAUUCUUGGAUUUAUUGAAGACUAACUACUGCGAAAGCAUUUGCCAAGGAUGUUUUCAUUAAUCAAGAACGAGAGUUAGGGGAUCGAAGACGAUCAGAUACCGUCGUAGUCUUAACCAUAAACUAUGCCGACUAGGGAUCGGAUGAUGUUAAUUUUUUAAUGACUCAUUCGGCGCCUUACGG